UGUCAUAGCUACUAUUGGAGUAGAUUCUCUAUAAUGUCAGUUUCAGCCUAGCUAACCCCUGAGGUGAGAGUUAGUUCGACUAACCCAUUUCUCUAUCCUAUCUUUCUUUAUCUCUUUUUUUUUAAAUCUAGCUUCAAUUCGAUGCAGAAAUAAGGCCUAAGGAGCUGGAGGAGUUGAAGAAACUGAAUCAGAGAAAGAGGAAGGCCUCGGCCUUAGCCUUUGGCGAGAC
Molecule: long non-coding RNA, 229 nt
Filed under: Elaeis guineensis (African oil palm)
Lineage: Eukaryota; Viridiplantae; Streptophyta; Magnoliopsida; Arecales; Arecaceae
Description: long non-coding RNA (EGUI_LNC051884)
Source: RNAcentral